RNAcentral lists this ribosomal RNA (292 nucleotides) under uncultured bacterium. RNAcentral describes it as "partial 16S ribosomal RNA". It matches the Rfam family "Bacterial small subunit ribosomal RNA", at positions 505 to 796 of the family's 1533-position model. The record is from RNAcentral.
GUGUCAGCAGCCGCGGUAAUACGAAGGGGGCUAGCGUUGUUCGGAAUUACUGGGCGUAAAGGGCGCGUAGGCGGCCUUGUGAGUCGAGUGUGAAAGCCCUGGGCUUAACCCGGGAAGCGCGCUUGAUACUGCAGGGCUUGAGUGUGGGAGAGGUUGGUGGAAUUCCCAGUGUAGAGGUGAAAUUCGUAGAUAUUGGGAAGAACACCGGUGGCGAAGGCGACCAACUGGACCACAACUGACGCUGAGGCGCGAAAGCGUGGGGAGCAAACAGGAUUAGAUACCCGGGUAGUCC